This 772-nucleotide ribosomal RNA is filed under the name Salmonella enterica subsp. enterica serovar Braenderup. RNAcentral's name for it is "partial 23S ribosomal RNA". It matches the Rfam family "Bacterial large subunit ribosomal RNA", at positions 2031 to 2802 of the family's 2925-position model. RNAcentral also lists the same sequence under 1 other name. Lineage: Bacteria; Pseudomonadati; Pseudomonadota; Gammaproteobacteria; Enterobacterales; Enterobacteriaceae. The record is from RNAcentral.
ACUCAGUGAAAUUGAACUCGCUGUGAAGAUGCAGUGUACCCGCGGCAAGACGGAAAGACCCCGUGAACCUUUACUAUAGCUUGACACUGAACAUUGAGCCUUGAUGUGUAGGAUAGGUGGGAGGCUUUGAAGCGUGGACGCCAGUCUGCGUGGAGCCGACCUUGAAAUACCACCCUUUAAUGUUUGAUGUUCUAACGUGGACCCGUUACCCGGGUUGCGGACAGUGUCUGGUGGGUAGUUUGACUGGGGCGGUCUCCUCCUAAAGAGUAACGGAGGAGCACGAAGGUUGGCUAAUCCUGGUCGGACAUCAGGAGGUUAGUGCAAUGGCAUAAGCCAGCUUGACUGCGAGCGUGACGGCGCGAGCAGGUGCGAAAGCAGGUCAUAGUGAUCCGGUGGUUCUGAAUGGAAGGGCCAUCGCUCAACGGAUAAAAGGUACUCCGGGGAUAACAGGCUGAUACCGCCCAAGAGUUCAUAUCGACGGCGGUGUUUGGCACCUCGAUGUCGGCUCAUCACAUCCUGGGGCUGAAGUAGGUCCCAAGGGUAUGGCUGUUCGCCAUUUAAAGUGGUACGCGAGCUGGGUUUAGAACGUCGUGAGACAGUUCGGUCCCUAUCUGCCGUGGGCGCUGGAGAACUGAGGGGGGCUGCUCCUAGUACGAGAGGACCGGAGUGGACGCAUCACUGGUGUUCGGGUUGUCAUGCCAAUGGCACUGCCCGGUAGCUAAAUGCGGAAGAGAUAAGUGCUGAAAGCAUCUAAGCACGAAACUUGCCCCGA